CAGCAGCCGCGGGAAUACGUAGGUGGCAAGCGUUGUCCGGAAUUAUUGGGCGUAAAGGGCUCGCAGGCGGUCUCUUAAGUCUGAUGUGAAAGCCCCCGGCUCAACCGGGGAGGGUCAUUGGAAACUGGGAAACUUGAGUGCAGAAGAGGAGAGUGGAAUUCCACGUGUAGCGGUGAAAUGCGUAGAGAUGUGGAGGAACACCAGUGGCGAAGGCGACUCUCUGGUCUGUAACUGACGCUGAGGAGCGAAAGCGUGGGGAGCGAACAGGAUUAGAUACCCCCGUAGUCCCCUGUCUCUUAUA
This 301-nucleotide ribosomal RNA is filed under the name uncultured bacterium. Its description in RNAcentral is "partial 16S ribosomal RNA". It matches the Rfam family "Bacterial small subunit ribosomal RNA", at positions 509 to 808 of the family's 1533-position model. The record is from RNAcentral.